Molecule: ribosomal RNA, 166 nt
Filed under: uncultured bacterium
Lineage: Bacteria
Description: partial 16S ribosomal RNA
Rfam family: Bacterial small subunit ribosomal RNA
Source: RNAcentral
CAGCAGAAGGGAAUCUUCGGCAAUGGGCGAAAGCCUGACCGAGCAACGCCGCGUGAGCGAUGAAGGCCUUCGGGUCGUAAAGCUCUGUUGUUAGAGAAGAACAAGUACGAGAGUAACUGCUCGUACCCUGCCGGUACCUAACCAGAAAGCCACGGCUAACUACGUG